UUCAAGGGUUCUAAAUUGCUCGAGUUUAGAAAUGGCUGAGCUCCACUGACCUGGCAUGUUGAUGACGGACUUUGAGCAAGCAUUGGCCCUCUUGAGAUGACACCUGACCCCUAACGUCAGAUCGAAUGAAGUGAUGGUAAGGAAUAGUUGAACAAAUAAUAUAUUAGGAACUUUCAUGGUAAAGAAUACAAGGCCUUACAGGCGCAAAUAAGACCCCUCUGAAUAUCUUUCCAUUAACAUUUGCUGUCACCAGGAAACCGGAGUCGAAGGCCCCAUCGACCUUACCUCGAACUUCAGCACCAAGCUGAGGAUAAAAAUCUCCCAAUGUGAAGCGUGAGCAAGUGGACAUACAU
RNAcentral lists this long non-coding RNA (353 nucleotides) under Gossypium barbadense (sea-island cotton). Its description in RNAcentral is "long non-coding RNA (GBAR_LNC021189)". Lineage: Eukaryota; Viridiplantae; Streptophyta; Magnoliopsida; Malvales; Malvaceae. The record is from RNAcentral.